AAUCCCACCUAUAAAUUGCCAAGUCUUGAAAAUCUCCCCUAUACUCAGCCAAGCAACAUUGACCUAAGCUAUCCCAUUAAUCCUGGUCCUCAAUUACAAACGAGAACCUCACAAGAUCCUAGUAAAGAAAUAGAGUCACCAGAAACAAACCAUAAUUCUACUGAAUUGGAAUUGUCACCAACUGCCUCAAAUGGUCCUCAUAUCCCUUGCAGGUCUGAUAGAAACAGAAGAGCACCUAUUUAUCUACAAGAUUUCAUAUGUCAACAGGCUUCCUCACUCACCCAUUCUCAAGUGUCUGCCAAGAAAAGGGGUGCCAUAAUUUUAGGUAAUCCUUUUCCUCUAAACGCAACACUUUCUUAUCAUAGAUUGUCUAACAAGCACAAAGUCUUCUCUUCGUCCUUACUUGAACAUGUAGAGCCCACUACUAACCAAGAGGCUAUCCAAUAUCCUAAAUGGUGUGAAGCUAUGCAGGCUGAAAUUAAGGUCUUGAGUCAAACCAAACUUGGAAUGUCACCGAUUUGCCCCUCCCCCCCGAAAAGGUACCCAUAGGAUGUAAAUGCGUGUACAAGGUGAAAUUUAAUGCUGAUGGAACAACUGAAAGACAUAAGGCAAGGCUCGUGGCAAAGGGUUACACCCAACUGGAAGGGAUAGACUACCAUGAAACCUUUUCACCUGUGGCAAAACUGGUAACAAUCAAGACAUUACUUGCAGUAGCAACAGUAAGAGGUUGGUAUCUACACCAAUUUGAGGUGAAUAAUGCCUUCUUGCACGGAGAUUUGGAGGAGGAAGUCUAUAUGCAUAUGUUUCCUGGAUACCCCAUCAACGGAACUUCAAAAGUGUGCAAACUUAAUAAGAGUUUACAUGGUUUAAAGCAAGUGUCACGACAAUGGUACUCUAAGUUAUCCAUUUUCAGUACUGAGCAAGGAUUUCAUCAGUCCAAGGCUGAUUACAGCCUCUUUACAAAGAACACUGGAAGUUCUUUUACAGCCGUAUUGAUUUACAUGGAUGAUAUUAUAAUAGCUGGAAGCAAUGUUGAAGUUAUAGACUCCCUUAAAAAGUAUCGUUGGAUAACAAAUUUAAGAUUAAGAAUUUGGGGAUUCUUAAGUAUUUUCUUGGAAUUGAGGUUGCUUGAUCAGCAAAGGGGAUCCAAAUUUGUCAAAGGAAAUAUGCAUUAGACAUUUUAACUGAUUCGGGUAAUAUUGGGGUCACUUCAACCAAGAUUCCACUUGAUCAAAACAAUAAAUUGUCCAAAGAUGAAGGAGAAGCCUUAUCUGACCCUGCCAUGUAUAGAAGACUUGUGGGAAGAUUACUUUAUUUAACAAUCACCAGGUCUGAUUUAUCUUAUUCAGUACAUUUGCUGAGCCAAUACAUUCAAACUUGUAGAGUACCACACCUCAAUGCUGCACUUAAAGUCCUAGGUACAUCAAGAGGUCACCAGGUCAAGGAUUUUUGUUCUCAUCGUCAUCCAAUUUGCAACUUACAGCUUAUAGUGAUUCAGACUGGGGAGCAUGCCCAGAUUCUCAAAGGUCAAUCACUAGCUAUUGCGUCUUCAUUGGUUCUUCAUUGAUAUCUUGGAGAUCCAAGAAGUAAAGCACUGUCUCCAGAUCCUCAGCAGAAGUAGAAUACAGAGCAAUGGCAACUGCAUGUUGUGAACUAACGUGGCUUAGAUAUGUCCUUAAUGAUCUGCAAGUUCCUUAUUCACAACCUGCUGAAUUAUUCUGCAAUAAUCAGGAUACCUUACACAUAGGAGCUAAUCCAGUGUUCCAUGAGCGAAUGAAGCAUAUUGAGCUAGAUUGUUAUUUGGUGCGCGACAAAAUUCAAGAAGGAAGUCUUGUCACAAAGCAUGUUAUGAUUGGUUCUCAAGUUGCUGAUAUAUUUACCAAGGCUCUUCCCUCUGAUAGUUUUAAUCUUCAUUUGUCCAAGAUGGGAGUGGAAGACAUCCACUCUCCACCUUGAGGGGGGCUAUUGAAACUCAAAGAUGAUCGCGAAGUUCGAAUGACUUAAGCCAGGAAGGAUCUAGAAUGCACUGGAAUGAGGGUGGCUCGUGCACAUGAUCAAUGAAAUUAAAUUGAUUCCAAUUUUGUUAGGAUGUUAGUGUGUAAAUAGGUCUGCAACAAACUACUGACUUUUUUCUGUAUAAUUUUGUUAUAGCAAUGCUGUGUAAAUAGCUCAUUUUCCUUCCAAAUGUACACACGAGAAUUGAGAAAAUAAUUAAUACACUCAGCAGAUUUUUUCAUCUCUGUUUUCAAUUCUUGGAUGAGCAAAUUGCUUCACACUACUCUGUUCAUGAUCUUUCUGGGAAGGUAGAUAACUUCCAUGCUCCUAAUUACUUUUUUGUCAGCAACCUGGAAAAAAUAGGUCAAAAUGCAUCCAUAAAUUGUCUGCAACCUUGUAACUACCUGCUUUGCAUCUGAAUUUUAUAAUCGCAUAGGUUCAUAAUGACUGACUAAAUAUCCUGGAAAGAAAAUGGGCAAAAUUUAUCCAUGAAUUUAACUUUAAUCAUCUUUGCACCUAUUUACCAAUUAUUCUCAUUUACUUAUUGCUGCUAAUCGGGACAGGUUGAAUGCAAGUUUGCAUUGCAAAAGGAAUUGGGUCUUCCAAUACGACCUCAAUGCCCUUUGGUGAGAGUGUAUAAUGAUUUUGUUUUAAUUAGAUAGUAUAUGUUCGCUUUCUUCUAGAAUUCUGUAAGAAGUUAGGUGUUUUAGAUUGGAUUUAUUGGGAGACUGGACUACCAGAAAGGUGUAGACAUUAUUCUUUCAGCAAUUCUCGAACUUAUGCAAGAUGAUGUCCAAUUUGUAAGUCGUCUUUUACUUUUCUUUGUGUUUACAUUGUGUGUGACUGUGUUAGCAUAAGUGGUUUUUUAUCCGGCAUCUUGUUGGGUUUUAUGGGGUUCACCACUUUUAACUUGUUUAUGUUUUUGUCUCUUUUAGGUGAUGCGAUUGUUGGAAAAUAAGGGGUUAGAGAAGAAACAACAACAAAAUUAUAGAAAAAAAUGAAUAGAAAUCACGAAAUACAUCAAGAAUAAAUUUUCGGCUUGAACACGGGAUCGUUGUCCUCAAACUAUAUUUGCCCCCUCUCCGUAUGAAAUGAGAUGCUUAAGGGUAUUAUGACAAAUGGUUUGAAGGAUUUUAACAAGCCUUGAUGCAAAAAAUAACAAAGCACGAGAAAUUUUUCGCCAAAAUUUGAUGAACACAAUAAAGAAGAAACGAAUAUGAGUUAUAACAGGGAUUUGAUUAAUUGUGGAACAAUAUAUGAAUUUCAAGAUAUUUUUCUUGUUUGUUAUGUAUUUGUAUUAAUCAUUCAUCACCUAUUUAUAGGCCUCAAUCAAUACAUCACGAAAUGGUGUCAAAACAAGAUGAAAAGUGGCAACUUUUAAUCCAAAACGAUCCCCAAGUUUCAAAUUGAAAAACUAGCCAACGACUAUUUUUUAACACCAUGCGUACACAUAGUAGAAGCAAAAUUUAAUUCUGAUUUUGCCAAAACAUAUCUCGUGUACGCACAAAAAUAAGCCUGUGCGUACGCAUAGGCAAAAAAUCAAAUUUUUCAUUUUUCAAUUUCUUUUGAUUCUACCAAUUCCACAAUUGAGCCCAAAAAUUAGUCCAUUAUCAUUCCAUUGAUUUUGAACAAAUAUUCAACAAUCCCCCACUUGUUCAAAAUCAAUACGAUCACAUAUUCAAAAGGACGACACUUAUGCAUAAGGAUUAGAUAUCUUUCGAUUUGAAUCUAACCAUAGUGUAAUUCAAAUAAAGUAAAGUCGGAAUUAGAGGUAGCAUGGAAGCUUUGAACCAAUUAUUCCUUGUGACAAUACUGGUAAGAACACACACAUAAGUAUCACGUGUUCUCAAGUUCCUUAACUCGUUUAGCGCUUUUAUGGCGUUGCGCUCAUCCUAUUCGACAAACUUUUAAGAGAGACAUUUCAACUCUCUAUUGAGGCAGAACUACCUCGAAGUUAGUUUAGGUGAAGUUCUUCCAGUACCUUUAUUACUUUUAGAGGUACUUGUGUUUUAGCACUGAACUUCAUUAAGAGCUUUAAGCUCAACCCUCACUUUAGUAACAACUAGCAUUAUUUAAUUAGGAUAGGGUCAUUGCGGAUUUGAAUAAUGCUGCAACCAUUCACAUAUCGAAUGACUUGUUGUUACCCUUUGAACCCGUAAAUUACUUUUUGAGUAAUGACAGGUAGGGUUGCCGUCAUUGGUGGACCUUUUUAAUUAAGGAGUUUCAACCCUAUCCUACUCGAAGUAGACGCCACUAAAUCUCUAUUUAGUGCUUUAGUUAAAUGAUCCACUAAAUUCUCAAUUGUCCUUACAUAAUUUAGGGAAAUUAUUCCAUCUUUGAUUAAUUUCCUUAUGUAGUCAUGUCUCAGACUCAUAUGUCUAGACUUUUCAUUGUAUACCUCGUUAUAUGCAUUUGCUAAUGUGGCUUGACUAUCACACAUGAUAGGUAUUGAAGAGAUAUUCUUCGAUCCCAAAGGUAUCUCAUAUAAGAAAUCCUUAAGCCACUCAGCCUCUUUCCCGGUAUUCGAUAAAGUUACAAAUUCAGAUUUCAUGGUUGAGUGUGUUAUACAUGUUUGUUUUUUUUUAUUUCCAAGAAACAACACCUCCUCCAAGAGUGAAUACCCAAACCGAAGUGGAUUUACUUUCACCCGUGUUAGAUAUCUAACUAGCAUCGAUAAAUCCUUCCAAUAUCAUCGGAAACUUAGUAUAUUGUAGGCCCAAGUUCUUGGUUUUCUUUAAGAAUCCAAGAACUCUCACAAUAGCCUUCCAAUGAUCAUUACUCAGAUUGCUAGUAAACCUACUAAGUUUACUUAUUACAUAAGCUAUAUCCGGUCUUGUGCAUUGAAUAGCAUACAUAAGACUCCAUAUAGCACUUGCAUAUUCCAAUUGAGCAAUCACCCUUCCAUCAUUAUUUAUUAGUUUUGAACUUAGAUCAAUCGGGGUACUACAUUCCUUUAUGUUCAAAUGUUUGAACUUAUUUAUCACAUUCUCAAUAUAAUGUGAUUGACUUAGAUAGUAACCCCCACUAGUCUUUGUGACUUUGAUACCUAAAAUGGUAUCCACUUGUCCAAGAUCUUUCAUCUUGAAUGUGGAAGAAAGAAACCUCUUUGUUUUUUCUAUUCCGUCCAUGUGAUUACUCAUAAUCAGCAUGUCGUCAACAUACAACAUAUAAAUGUCACAUAAUCAUCACAAACUUUAGAAUAUAAACAUUUAUCAAUGCUAUUAUGUUUAAACUCGAAUGAUAUUAUUGCUAAGUCAAACUUCUCAUGCCAUUUCUUUGGUGCUUGCUUCAGACCAUAUAAAGAUUUCACCAACUUACACACUUUAUGUUCAUUUCCAGGUAGGGCAAACCCUUCGGGUUGUUCCAUAUAGACCUCCUCAUCGAGAUCUCCAUUUACAAAUUCCAUCUUGACAUUAAUUUGAUGAACAUGCAAGUCAUAUAUUGAAGACAAAGCGAAUAAUAUCCUAAUCGAUGUUACUCUAGCUAUCAGUGCAUAAGUAUCAAAAUAGUCGAUUCCUUCCUUUUGUCGAUAUCCUUUGGCUACUAAUCUAGCCUUGAAGGUAUUUAAGAAUCCAUCAACAUUGUAUUUUCUCCUAAAUACCCAUUUGCAUCCAAUAGGCUUGGAUCCCGAUGGUAAAUCAACAAGUUCCCAAGUAUUAUUGGACAUUAUCGAAUUCAUUUCGUCCUUAAUUGCAUCUUUCCAAAAUAUGCUAUUACGGGAAGCCAUAGCUUCUUUAUAAGUCUUAGGGUCGAUUUCUACUUGUAGAACAAAAGGAAUUGUUCUCACAACAUUCAACUCAUUUCCCUCUACUAAGUAAAAGGAGAUAAGUUGAGAAUCGAUUUCAUUCGAUCCCAAAGACUUCUCAACUCGAAUUCUCUUGCUUCUUCGUGGUUCACUAGAUUCAUCAACAUCCUUAGAAGAUAUUUCAUCAUGUGUUCCACUUGAGUUAGAGAUAUUUUCAAGAUUUUCCCUCAAUUCAUUAUCCGAAGAUAACGAAUCCUCAAAGAACUCCACAUCGUUGGACAUCGUUGGAUUCGAUAAUCACAUUGGACUCCAAAUUUAGUAAUCUAUAAGAUUUGAUAUUGUUUUCAUAUCCAACAAAUGCACAUUUAAUGCCUCUUGGACCCAAUUUGGUCCUCUUAGGAUUCGUGUUCUUGCAAUAGGCAAGACACCCCCACACUUUGAAGUAUCCAAUGUUCGAUUUUCUUCCUUUCCACAAUUCAUAAGGAGAAACAUUAAUAUAGUUUGAAGGAAUCCUAUUAAGUAUUCUACAUGCACUUAAUAAAGUUUUACCCCACAAGUUAAAUGAUAACUUAGCAUGAAUAAGCAUGGCAUUUAUCAUUUCUACAAAUGUUCUAUUUUUUCUUUUAGUCAAGCCGUUUUGUUCGGGUGUCCUAGGUGCAGAACAUUGAUGAAUAAUUCCAUAUUGUUCACAAAACAAAUUAAAAUAAUUGAAAAAGUAUUCACCACCUCUAUCACUUUCUUAAAAUUUUAAUUUUCGUUCUCAGAUAAAUUUCAACAUCAUUCUUGUAUGUCUUAAACAUGUCAAAAACUUCACUUUUAUGUUUUAUCAAAUAAACAUAUGUAUAACUAGAAAAGUUAUCUAUAAAAGUUAUGAAAUAUUUAUUUCCACCUCUAGUUAACAUACCAUUAAGUUCACAUAUAUCAGUAUGAAUUAAUUCUAAAAUACUAGAGGUUCUCUUAAUACUUUGAUAUGAUUUUUUAAUCAUUUUAGAUUCUAUACAUGUUUUGCAUUUAUAUUUAUCAUUUUCAUCACAUGAGAUCAAAUCAUAUUUUUUCAUGCGUUUCAUUGUAUUUCUACCAACAUGACCUAAUCUAGCAUGCCAUAAUGAAAAUAAACUCACAACAUAAGCAAAAUUACUUUUAUUCAUUUCAUUGUCAACGGUACAUAAUUUGUCAAUUCCUUCACACGAAUAGCCUUUUUCAACAAAUUUCCCAUUAAGGGAUAGUACAAAUUUACCGGACUCAUAAACACAUUUGAUGCCUGGUUUUUCCAAGAGAUUGCCACUAACUAGGUUCCUAUUUAUAUCCGGAACAUGUAGUACAUUAGUUAUAGUAACGAUUUUCCCAGAAGUGAAAAUAAUGUCUAUACUUCCUUUUCCAAACACCUUAGACCGCAUCUCGUUACCCAUUUGAAUCUCUUGUUCUCCAUCCACUUCUUGAUAAGUUUUGAACAAAUAUUUAUCAUAUGAUACAUAUACCAUAGCAUAAGUAUCAUACCACCACUCGAGAACAUUUCCUUUGAUUG
Molecule: small RNA, 7265 nt
Filed under: Olea europaea subsp. europaea
Lineage: Eukaryota; Viridiplantae; Streptophyta; Magnoliopsida; Lamiales; Oleaceae
Source: RNAcentral